Helianthus annuus (common sunflower) is the source of this 138-nucleotide long non-coding RNA. RefSeq lists it as uncharacterized. The record is from RefSeq and is a predicted model, not a curated record. NCBI's taxonomy places the organism in Eukaryota, Viridiplantae, Streptophyta, Magnoliopsida, Asterales, Asteraceae. The transcript is spliced from 4 exons.
AGAAAUCGUCAAAAGUUCUUCACAAUAUGAUCGUUCCACAUAAUUUGCAGAUAUGCAUCCCUUGCACAACAGUCCUUCAUUUUUAAAGCUUAUUGAUGAAGAUGACCCGAUAUUUUUGGUGAAGAGCUUCUUUCAGAC